RNAcentral lists this ribosomal RNA (302 nucleotides) under uncultured bacterium. Its description in RNAcentral is "partial 16S ribosomal RNA". It matches the Rfam family "Bacterial small subunit ribosomal RNA", at positions 508 to 809 of the family's 1533-position model. The record is from RNAcentral.
GCAGCCGCCACGGGAAUACGGAGGGUGCAAGCGUUAAUCGGAAUUACUGGGCGUAAAGCGUACGCAGGCGGUCUGUCAAGUCAGAUGUGAAAUCCCCGGGCUUAACCUGGGAACUGCAUUUGAAACUGGCAGGCUAGAGUCUUGUAGAGGGGGGUAGAAUUCCAGGUGUAGCGGUGAAAUGCGUAGAGAUCUGGAGGAAUACCGGUGGCGAAGGCGGCCCCCUGGACAAAGACUGACGCUCAGGUGCGAAAGCGUGGGGAGCAAACAGGAUUAGAUACCCCUGUAGUCCCUGUCUCUUAUAA